CCUGAAUGCUCCUUGACCAAGUCUUUAAGA
Molecule: non-coding RNA, 30 nt
Filed under: Mus musculus (house mouse)
Lineage: Eukaryota; Metazoa; Chordata; Mammalia; Rodentia; Muridae
Source: RNAcentral